GAAAUUUUCUGAUUUGAACAGCCAUCAAAGUAGGCACGCACGAGGACCUCCAAGAGGACCCUACUGUGGAAGUUUGAACUCUUCCUCCAAUUUACUUGCUUGCAUAACUUGGAUUGAACUUGGCGAGGUAUUGAAGAAACCUUCCUGAUACGUUUUGUUUAGGGUUUCUAUUACUUUUGACUAUGUUUUGGCUUUUGGAUUGUAUUUUGGAAUCCGAAUGUAACUCUUGGGGCAUGAUGUAUAUUUGGAAUUUAUAAUGGUUGUUGAACACCCGAUGUGCGGGUUGGAUAACGGAUGACUUUUAUUAAAUUUGAACGCUUCC
Molecule: long non-coding RNA, 322 nt
Organism: Coffea eugenioides
Lineage: Eukaryota; Viridiplantae; Streptophyta; Magnoliopsida; Gentianales; Rubiaceae
Exons: 3
Source: RefSeq, a predicted model, not a curated record